This 681-nucleotide long non-coding RNA is filed under the name Hordeum vulgare. Its description in RNAcentral is "long non-coding RNA (HVUL_LNC000060)". The record is from RNAcentral. Lineage: Eukaryota; Viridiplantae; Streptophyta; Magnoliopsida; Poales; Poaceae.
CAACGCCCACUUCAUCGGCAACCACAACCCCUCCACGAGCCGCGACUUCACCUGGAUCCAGGCCGUGGGGGUCCUCUUCGCCCACCACCGCCUCCACCUCGGCGCCGUUCACUCAGCUCACUGGGACUCCGCCGCCGACCACCUCGACCUCGCCUUCGACGACGAGCGCGUCCACCUCCCGCUCGCCGACGGCGCGCGCUGGUCCUCCGCGUCCGUGCCCGGGCUCUCCAUCACCCGCACGUCGCGGGCCAACAGCGUCGUCGUCGAGCUCAAGGGGGUGUUCCGGAUCGUGGCCAACGCCGUGCCCAUCACCGCCGAGGAGUCGAAGGCGCACGGCUACGGCGUCACCGCCGACGACUGCCUCGCGCACCUCGACCUCGGGUUCAAGUUCCACGCUCUCUCCGACGACGUCCACGGCGUGCUCGGCCAGACCUACCGCUCCGACUACGUCAACAAGCUCAACGUCGCCGCCAAGAUGCCCGUCAUGGGCGGCGCCGACGACUACGUCUCCUCGGCCCUGUUCGCCACCGACUGCGCCGUCACGAGGUUCGGCCGCCCCGCCGCGGCAACGGUUGUUGGCACCGCCGCCGGCGGCAUCGCCAUGGUCACCGACGCCAAGUACGUCUAGACGACCGGUCCAAGAGUCAACCAGCCCGGUACUUGCGUGCUGCCAUCUGGCGU